UACGUAGGCAGCAAACGUUGUUCGGAAUUACUGGGCGUAAAGAGUGUGUAGGCGGUUCUGCAAGUUUGGGGUGAAAUCUCCCGGCUUAACUGGGAGGGUGCGCCGAAAACUGCAAAGCUAGAGUACUGGAGAGGAAAGCGGAAUUCCUGGUGUAGCGGUGAAAUGCGUAGAUAUCAGGAGGAACACCGGUGGUGUAGACGGCUUUCUGGACAGUAACUGACGCUGAGACACGAAAGCGUGGGGAGCAAACAGG
RNAcentral lists this ribosomal RNA (253 nucleotides) under uncultured bacterium. RNAcentral describes it as "partial 16S ribosomal RNA". It matches the Rfam family "Bacterial small subunit ribosomal RNA", at positions 524 to 776 of the family's 1533-position model. The record is from RNAcentral.